Molecule: long non-coding RNA, 1588 nt
Organism: Notothenia coriiceps (black rockcod)
Lineage: Eukaryota; Metazoa; Chordata; Actinopteri; Perciformes; Nototheniidae
Exons: 3
Source: RefSeq, a predicted model, not a curated record
GUGUGUGUGUGUGUGUGUGUGUGUGUGUGUACAGCCUUGAGGCCAAUAUUCUACUUUUUACUCUGCUACCUUUAUACAACACUCAUAGUUACUAGGUAUUUUUACAUUUAAAAGUACCUGCUUUGAAGUGUAUGUAAGUCACUUCAAUCACAAUAGAUAAAACAGUCAGCUAAAUAACAUGUUAGGUAAUUAUGAAGCAGAAUACAAAUAUUGAAUCAUAAAUCUUCAACAAGGAAAAGACUUAACAUGGACAGCAGUGUAAAAGUAGAGCAUGGCUUCGUCCUGAUAUCAGUUAGUACACAGUAAGACACGGAUAUAAACACUACACGCUCUCCUCCUCAGGCGCUGGUCAGCUGUUUGGAGCUGCUGGAAGACGAGCAGUCGGACACCAGAGUGUGUGGAUGCAAGGCUCUAGCAUGUCUCAAGGCCAAAGAGAGUAUAGACCAGUUAGUGUAUCUCUGUCGGACGGACAAGGACGAUGUCCGAGACGCUGCCAAACAAGCGCUGCUGGUGCUCGGCGAGGAGGGGAAGAUGGCCCACAGACACGUGGAGACGUCUCAGGACAGCAUCCCCAGACUCUUUGCUCCAGGAAGCAUGGCCAGCACUGCUUUCUAACACUUCACACACACACACACACACUGGGUGGGGGAGAAAACUGAAAUAACACAAAAAGCCUCAAUGAGAAUAUAAAGUAGUUUUUUUUAUUUUCCAAUACUACCACUAAAAAUCAGAGAGGUAACUAUGGUAUCAAGGAUAGCCACUCUAUUUAACACUGGCAAACAUGUAAAGUUAUUAAGCUACAAACACACCAGUUUAUGUUCAUCAACCUGUGCUAACUACCAAGAGAGUGUGAGGAAGGAUGUAAAAUGUGAGCAGGCUUGAAUGGAAAGACAGAUGAAGGGAUGAGAAGGAUGAAAUGGAUACUGAAGGAAGGAAAUGUAAAGCAGAUUCAUAUCCAAAUCAAAUAACUGGAUAUUGAUCCAUCAUGGCACAGACACAAAAACAUUAUUUUGUAAGUGGAUUAGGAAAAGUGUAAAGAUCUAUUUUAAGUCAAUUCAGAUAAUUCACAUUUUCACAGCCUACUAAGCGCCCAAAAUGUUGAGUGUCUUGUACUCCGACUCUCUGUGAUUUUGACUUGUACUAGGCAUACAUAGAGUAAAUCUACAGUAUUAACUGUUCUUAGUGGAUACUGCUGUCUCUUGUUAGGGCCUGAGCAUGAGAGUGCUGGGACCCCAACGGUGUCCCUAGCACGAAGUGCGUGGAAACCUAUUGUUUUCCUGAAGAUUCUUAUUUUAGGUGUUUUUGGAAAAUGUUACCCCAGUUGCAGCAUAUUUUCAUAUAACUCUGCCUUUCCUAUAGCCAUGGCUCUACUAGCUUGUUGAUUUCAAGACUGAGACCUAAGUAAUGCAGCUGUACUGCAACACUGCAAUGCACCUGAGAAUGAAUGAGCUCAAACUUCCCACACUGCACUGAUGCAUAGAUCUGGGCUGCACAAUUAUUCAAAUUUCAAAUCACAAAAGAGCCGGCCAGCUAACCAAUCAGAGCAGACUGGGCUCUGGUUUCAGACAGAGGUUGAAAAGAGGUGCUG